GACGGAAUAAAAACAAAUAGAACACUAGUAACAAUGCAUAAAAUAAAUAUAAACCUUAGGCAACAAUUAGUGUUUCCCGUUCAGCAGAAAAUAUUCGAGUGUUCGGAUAAUGGAGAGGAGCUCUCUUAUAUAGAAGGAAAAAGGCGGAAAAGAAAUGAAAGAUUGGAGUACGAUGAAAAGGAAAUGAAAAGCUGGAAAGGGGUCUCGGGCGAACAGGUGCAACGGGCGAAGUGGCUGUCGGCACUCGGCCGCGGGCUUGAGAAACUCGGCCGCGUGAUCGGCCAUGGAAGCUUCCAUUGUUCCCUAGAAAUAUUUUUCUUUAGUUGUUUUUGGAAAAGGAAUGGUGAUUAAUUUAUAGACAUGAGGAAGAAAAGAGAAGGGCACAUGACGGAGAGGCGUUGCAAACAAGAGAAGGGUAUUCACCGUUGAGAAAUAAUGGUUCACAGUUGGGCAGCACUGGGUGUGGGCUUGACCGGCAGACGACAUUUACGUGCCUUUUUCCUAUGCAUUUCCCCCCCUCUCUCUCUCUCAAAAACGGCAAAUUCUAUGCGCGAAUAAGAAAAAAGUGUUAGUAUUUCAUAUAUUUUCCUUUCACCAACUUGGACACCCAAAUUGUCAAACUUCAAGUCUUCAUUUUCAUCGCACCAUCAUCGACGGCGAUUCAGAUCUGGUGCCGUUGGCUACUUCUACCACCAAUCCAAUGCCUCUCCAUUUCACUUUAGCUUCACUUUUUCAUAGAUCCUGCUAUAAGAGCGGGUAGGGAACCAAAACACAAAUGCAAGACGACGCCAAAUCUGUGCUUUUCAAAACCAAAAAGCACGCAUCUUACCACCGACUUGUUUCUGGCAAGAAAGCUCCAUUGAUUUUGUGGAGAGAGAA
This 879-nucleotide long non-coding RNA is filed under the name Salvia miltiorrhiza (redroot sage). RNAcentral describes it as "long non-coding RNA (SMIL_LNC011710)". The record is from RNAcentral. Lineage: Eukaryota; Viridiplantae; Streptophyta; Magnoliopsida; Lamiales; Lamiaceae.